This 337-nucleotide RNase P RNA is filed under the name Actinomycetota bacterium. Its description in RNAcentral is "RNase P RNA component class A". It matches the Rfam family "Bacterial RNase P class A". Rfam says of the family: Ribonuclease P (RNase P) is a ubiquitous endoribonuclease, found in archaea, bacteria and eukarya as well as chloroplasts and mitochondria. The record is from RNAcentral. Lineage: Bacteria; Bacillati; Actinomycetota.
CCUGCGGGCCAGACAGCCGCGGAGGCAACGUCCUUCGAGGAAAGUCCGGACAUCGCAGGGCAGGGCGGUCGGGAAACCGACCCGGGGAAACCCGCGGGAAAGUGCCACAGAAAACAGACCGCCGAUGACCCGCCGUAUUCGCGGCGGCGUACAGGCAAGGGUGAAACGGUGCGGUAAGAGCGCACCGGCGUCGUGGCGACACGGCGGCCAGGCAAACCCCGCCCGAUGCAAGGCCAAGCAGGACCGUUCGCAGGUGGCCCGCCGAGGUCCAGGUCGGCCGCACAAGAUGGAUGGCUGUCCAACGACAGAAUCCGGCUUACCGGCCCGCUAAGGAAAA